GAGGAUUUAGCUUAAUUAAAGUGGUUGAUUUGCGUUCAGUUGAUGUAAGACAUAGCCUUGCAAUCCUUA
This 69-nucleotide transfer RNA is filed under the name Tragelaphus scriptus (bushbuck). RNAcentral's name for it is "tRNA-Ala". It matches the Rfam family "tRNA". Rfam says of the family: Transfer RNA (tRNA) molecules are approximately 80 nucleotides in length. Their secondary structure includes four short double-helical elements and three loops (D, anti-codon, and T loops). Further hydrogen bonds mediate the characteristic L-shaped molecular structure. tRNAs have two regions of fundamental functional importance: the anti-codon, which is responsible for specific mRNA codon recognition, and the 3' end, to which the tRNAs corresponding amino acid is attached (by aminoacyl-tRNA synthetases). tRNAs cope with the degeneracy of the genetic code in two manners: having more than one tRNA (with a specific anti-codon) for a particular amino acid; and 'wobble' base-pairing, i.e. permitting non-standard base-pairing at the 3rd anti-codon position. Lineage: Eukaryota; Metazoa; Chordata; Mammalia; Artiodactyla; Bovidae. The record is from RNAcentral.